This 40-nucleotide transfer RNA is filed under the name Rhagoletis striatella. RNAcentral's name for it is "partial tRNA-Asp". The record is from RNAcentral. Lineage: Eukaryota; Metazoa; Arthropoda; Insecta; Diptera; Tephritidae.
AAAAAAUUAGUUAAAUCAUAACAUUAGUUUGUCAAACUAA